UGGGGAAUAUUGCACAAUGGGCGCAAGCCUGAUGCAGCCAUGCCGCGUGUAUGAAGAAGGCCUUCGGGUUGUAAAGUACUUUCAUCGGGGAGGAAGGCGAUAAGGUUAAUAACCUUGUCGAUUGACGUUACCCGCAGAAGAAGCACCGGCUAACUCCGUGCCAGCAGCCGCGGUAAUACGGAGGGUGCAAGCGUUAAUCGGAAUUACUGGGCGUAAAGCGCACGCAGGCGGUCUGUCAAGUCGGAUGUGAAAUCCCCGGGCUCAACCUGGGAACUGCAUUCGAAACUGGCAGGCUAGAGUCUUGUAGAGGGGGGUAGAAUUCCAGGUGUAGCGGUGAAAUGCGUAGAGAUCUGGAGGAAUACCGGUGGCGAAGGCGGCCCCCUGGACAAAGACUGACGCUCAGGUGCGAAAGCGUGGGGAGCAAACA
RNAcentral lists this ribosomal RNA (427 nucleotides) under uncultured bacterium. RNAcentral describes it as "partial 16S ribosomal RNA". It matches the Rfam family "Bacterial small subunit ribosomal RNA", at positions 355 to 774 of the family's 1533-position model. The record is from RNAcentral.